CGUUUGCUGCGCUGCAGGCGGAGGCCGGGCGGCUCUCACCCGCCCAUACCGCGCUGUUCGCGGCGCCGGUGGUCGA
This 76-nucleotide transfer RNA is filed under the name Neoroseomonas lacus. RNAcentral's name for it is "tRNA-Glu". Lineage: Bacteria; Pseudomonadati; Pseudomonadota; Alphaproteobacteria; Acetobacterales; Acetobacteraceae. The record is from RNAcentral.